This 333-nucleotide non-coding RNA is filed under the name Dictyostelium purpureum. RNAcentral's name for it is "Eukaryotic large subunit ribosomal RNA". It matches the Rfam family "Eukaryotic large subunit ribosomal RNA", at positions 2045 to 2238 of the family's 3401-position model. The record is from Rfam by way of RNAcentral. Lineage: Eukaryota; Evosea; Eumycetozoa; Dictyosteliales; Dictyosteliaceae.
AAAGGGGUUUAGUUCUUUCGGCUAUGAGGGCUUGCUCGUUCUGCUUUACAAUUAACAACUAAUUUAGAACUGUGACGAUCACGGGGAAUCCAACUGUUUAAUUAAAACAAAGCAUUGCGAAUAGCUGAAAAGCCCUUGACGCAAUGUGAUUUCUGCCCAGUGCUCUGAAUGUCAAAGUGAAGAGAUUCAACCUAGCCUUCCCUUAUCUACAUUAAUACAUUUGACCAGAGGCUAUUCACCUUGGAGACCUGAUGUGGUUAUUGGUACGAACACUUCAAGGGACUAAAUACCAUAAUCCGGUUUUCAAGGACCAAUUAACGGAUGCGAGACCCA